GGCGUGGACUCCACUCAGGGCCUGGGCGUUCCACCCCUAACCCUAACCGUGGUUCCUCGCCGCUGCCAUCCAGCCCCGAGGAGCACACAAAGGAAAUUCUCACAGUGGACCGCACCAAGGUUAAGGUGGACUUAAUAAGAACGACAUUCAAUCUUGCUUCCGCUUUGGUGUUCAGUGGCACGCUUUUUUAUUGUUGGUUUAUGCCGACAAUGAAUGAAUCUCUUGUUAGAGAAAGGUCAAAGUUGAAAGAUGACAUAAUUCAAGCCGUAAGGCAAGAGUUCGAGAACAAGAGGAUACAUAUUGAAGGUGAAAAGUGUAAAGCCAAAAAUUCUCAAGGCCAAAGCAUGCAAACCUGAGGAAAUCAUGGUAGGUGGGCACCAAGCUUUGGAUGAUUUAGAUGAGGCCUAGAGUAAUUACUAAGCCCGGAAACCAAACAAAGUAGUAUUGAGCUGAGAGGCUUUAUUAGUUGUGCACUUUGGGGGAAAAGAAAUCCAUCUUCUCAGUGUAGGAAAGUGUAAAGUUUUAUGAUAGCUGAUACAAUGAUCUGAAGGUUGUGGAGCGUUGUUAAUUUUUGCA
Long non-coding RNA from Panicum virgatum (switchgrass), 576 nucleotides. RefSeq lists it as uncharacterized. The transcript is spliced from 4 exons. NCBI's taxonomy places the organism in Eukaryota, Viridiplantae, Streptophyta, Magnoliopsida, Poales, Poaceae. The record is from RefSeq and is a predicted model, not a curated record.